CUCUCAUUGACAAAGUCUCAGCGGCACUGUGUGUAGAAGACCAUAUAAUGAGUGCAGGCCAGGCAGACGUGGUGGCUUCAGCAGAGACAAUCACUUCUGAGAGAAAGGCAGUUACUCUGGACUUUCUUGUGUAUGGUCGAUGGAUGCUGUAGAUAAAGCUGACAGAUUCAGAAAAGCAUGUGGAGCAAAUCCUUCAAAGAUGACACACAAUUUCUCACAACCAGGGCUAAAUGAGGCUUCUUGGCAGCUACACAUCCUUUCAGACUCAUA
Colossoma macropomum (tambaqui) is the source of this 270-nucleotide long non-coding RNA. RefSeq lists it as uncharacterized. Lineage: Eukaryota; Metazoa; Chordata; Actinopteri; Characiformes; Serrasalmidae. The transcript has 3 exons. The record is from RefSeq and is a predicted model, not a curated record.